RNAcentral lists this ribosomal RNA (253 nucleotides) under uncultured bacterium. RNAcentral's name for it is "partial 16S ribosomal RNA". It matches the Rfam family "Bacterial small subunit ribosomal RNA", at positions 524 to 776 of the family's 1533-position model. The record is from RNAcentral.
CACGUAGGGCGCAAGCGUUGUCCGGAAUUAUUGGGCGUAAAGAGCUCGUAGGCGGUCUGUUGCGUCCGCUGUGAAAACUCGGGGCUUAACCCCGAGCCUGCAGUGGAUACGGGCAGACUAGAGGUAGGUAGGGGAGAAUGGAAUUCCUGGUGUAGCGGUGAAAUGCGCAGAUAUCAGGAGGAACACCGGUGGCGAAGGCGGAUCUCUGGGCCGAUACUGACGCUGAGGAGCGAAAGCGUGGGGAGCGAACAGG